Molecule: ribosomal RNA, 506 nt
Filed under: uncultured bacterium
Lineage: Bacteria
Description: partial 16S ribosomal RNA
Rfam family: Bacterial small subunit ribosomal RNA
Source: RNAcentral
AUUGAACGCUGGCGGCAGGCCUAACACAUGCAAGUCGGACGGUAGCACAGAGGAGCUUGCUCCUCGGGUGACGAGUGGCGGACGGGUGAGUAAUGUCUGGGGAUCUGCCCGAUAGAGGGGGAUAACCACUGGAAACGGUGGCUAAUACCGCAUAACGUCGCAAGACCAAAGAGGGGGACCUUCGGGCCUCUCACUAUCGGAUGAACCCAGAUGGGAUUAGCUAGUAGGCGGGGUAACGGCCCACCUAGGCGACGAUCCCUAGCUGGUCUGCGAGGAUGACCAGCCACACUGGAACUGAGACACGGUCCAGACUCCUACGGGAGGCAGCAGUGGGGAAUAUUGCACAAUGGGCGCAAGCCUGAUGCAGCCAUGCCGCGUGUAUGAAGAAGGCCGUCGGGUUGUAAAGUACUUUCAGCGGGGAGGAAGGCGAUGUGGUUAAUAACCGCAUUGAUUGACGUUACCCGCAGAAGAAGCACCGGCUAACUCCGUGCCAGCAGCCGCCGCAG